Molecule: ribosomal RNA, 684 nt
Filed under: Sphingomonas paucimobilis
Lineage: Bacteria; Pseudomonadati; Pseudomonadota; Alphaproteobacteria; Sphingomonadales; Sphingomonadaceae
Description: bacterial SSU rRNA
Rfam family: Bacterial small subunit ribosomal RNA
Source: RNAcentral
GGCUCAGAACGAACGCUGGCGGCAUGCCUAACACAUGCAAGUCGAACGAAGGCUUCGGCCUUAGUGGCGCACGGGUGCGUAACGCGUGGGAAUCUGCCCUUAGGUUCGGAAUAACAGCUGGAAACGGCUGCUAAUACCGGAUGAUAUCGCGAGAUCAAAGAUUUAUCGCCUGAGGAUGAGCCCGCGUUGGAUUAGGUAGUUGGUGGGGUAAAGGCCUACCAAGCCGACGAUCCAUAGCUGGUCUGAGAGGAUGAUCAGCCACACUGGGACUGAGACACGGCCCAGACUCCUACGGGAGGCAGCAGUGGGGAAUAUUGGACAAUGGGCGAAAGCCUGAUCCAGCAAUGCCGCGUGAGUGAUGAAGGCCCUAGGGUUGUAAAGCUCUUUUACCCGGGAAGAUAAUGACUGUACCGGGAGAAUAAGCCCCGGCUAACUCCGUGCCAGCAGCCGCGGUAAUACGGAGGGGGCUAGCGUUGUUCGGAAUUACUGGGCGUAAAGCGCACGUAGGCGGCUUUGUAAGUCAGAGGUGAAAGCCUGGAGCUCAACUCCAGAACUGCCUUUGAGACUGCAUCGCUUGAAUCCAGGAGAGGUCAGUGGAAUUCCGAGUGUAGAGGUGAAAUUCGUAGAUAUUCGGAAGAACACCAGUGGCGAAGGCGGCUGACUGGACUGGUAUUGACGCUGAGG